Molecule: ribosomal RNA, 366 nt
Filed under: uncultured bacterium
Lineage: Bacteria
Description: bacterial SSU rRNA
Rfam family: Bacterial small subunit ribosomal RNA
Source: RNAcentral
AACGAACGCUGGCGGCAUGCCUAACACAUGCAAGUCGAACGCGUGUAGCAAUACACGAGUGGCGGACGGGUGAGUAACGCGUGGGAACCUGCCCAGUGGUAGGGAAUAACUGCGGGAAACUGCAGCUAAUACCCUAUACGCCCUUUGGGGAAAGAUUCAUCGCCAUUGGAGGGGCCCGCGUCGGAUUAGCUAGUUGGCGGGGUAACGGCCCACCAAGGCAACGAUCCGUAGCUGGCUGAGAGGAUGAUCAGCCACACUGGGACUGAGAUACGGCCCAGACUCCUACGGGAGGCAGCAGUGGGGAAUAUUGGACAAUGGGGAACCCUGAUCCAGCAAUGCCGCGUGAGUGAAGAAGGCCUUCGGGUU